CAAGUUCCUGUUUUCUCCACAUUAACCUGAGAAGGUCACUGAAGGUCAUUCAGACUUUAAAGAACAAUAAACUAUAAUUAUUAACUAUUAAAGUGAAAUAAAAAUGAUGUUUUUAAUGGAGUUAUUAUUCAGGAGUAUGUUCAUGUUUAAUACUUACAACUCCGCUGGAUCUCCGGUGAUCCCACACGACAUCAUUACUAUUGUUGACAGUUUCUCAGGAUCUACACCGUGUUUCUCUACGGGAUAAAAAGUGUUCAAAAGUUUACUCUUUAGUCGAUCUAUCGAGGGUUUCCAGACAUUUCUACACCUGCUACAAGGUUUACAAUCCAGCCUCAAAAACAGGUGUUUGAUCAGAGACGAUUGGUGGUAAAUAUACAGUGAUAUACGAUGAAAACAGGAUUAUUGAUCAGAUUGUUGAGAUAAAAAAAAAGGUCCCUAUCGCUAAAUGCCGCAAAUUUGACGAGCUGUUUUAAUGACGCCUUUUUCUGUCAAACUUUUGACCAAUCACACGGUCUCAUAUUCUUCUUCUACUGUUCCCUUGAUGGUAGUGUCCAAUAAGAGGCAACCAAAGAUCAACAAGAGACAAGAAGGUUCCCUGAAGAGACUCUGAGCAGCAUGAUGUGGUCCUCUGUCUCAUCCCAGGAGCGGCAGAAACAACUGUAAACAGUCAAAAAAAACACCUGGAAGAAUGAGUGUAAAUAUGUCAAUAGUUUCUGUUGUGUGUUUGUUCCAAUCCUAAUAUUUCUUCUCCUGAUAGACUUGAGAGAAUGAUGUUCAGGUGAGAAAAGGUUU
Xyrichtys novacula (pearly razorfish) is the source of this 792-nucleotide non-coding RNA. The record is from the annotation of a GenBank genome assembly. NCBI's taxonomy places the organism in Eukaryota, Metazoa, Chordata, Actinopteri, Labriformes, Labridae.